UUAGAGUUUGAUCCUGGCUCAGGAUGACCCCUUGCGGCAGGCUUAACACAUGCAAGUCGAGGGGCAGCAUGUCCAGCAAUGGAUGAUGGCGACCGGCGGAAGGGUGCGUAACGCGUGAGCAACAUGCCCUAUACAGGGAGAUACACCAGGGAAACUUGGUCUAAUAUCCCAUAUCAUUCAUUGAAGGCAUCUUUAAUGAAUUAAAGCUUCGGUGGUAUAGGAUUGGCUCGCGUGACAUUAGCCAGAUGGUGAGGUAACGGCUCACCAUAGCAAUGAUGUCUAGGGGUUUUGAGAGGAAGGCCCCCACACUGGGACUGAGACACGGCCCAGACUCCUACGGGAGGCAGCAGUGAGGAAUAUUGGACAAUGGAUGGAAAUCUGAUCCAGCCAUGCCGCGUGCAGGAAGACGGCCUUAUGGGUUGUAAACUGCUUUUAUACGGGAGCAAUGAGGGUUACGAGUAAUCCGAUGAGAGUACUGUAUGAAUAAGGAUCGGCUAACUCCGUGCCAGCAGCCGCGGUAAUACGGAGGAUCCGAGCGUUAUCCGGAAUUAUUGGGCGUAAAGGGUACGUAGGCGGUUUUUUAAGUCUGGUGUGAAAUUGGUGGGCUCAACCCACCCAAGCAUUGGAAACUGGAAAACUUGAGUCAUGGAGAGGAAAGUGGAAUUCCUAGUGUAGCGGUGAAAUGCGUAGAUAUUAGGAGGAAUACCGGUGGCGAAGGCGACUUUCUGGACAUGUACUGACGCUGAGGUACGAAAGCGUGGGGAGCAAACAGGAUUAGAUACCCUGGUAGUCCACGCCGUA
This 801-nucleotide ribosomal RNA is filed under the name uncultured bacterium. RNAcentral describes it as "bacterial SSU rRNA". It matches the Rfam family "Bacterial small subunit ribosomal RNA", at positions 1 to 804 of the family's 1533-position model. The record is from RNAcentral.